GGGUGAUUAGCUCAGGUGGUAGAGCAGCUGACUCUUAAUCAGCGGGUCGUAGGUUCGAGUCCUACAUCACCCACCA
This 76-nucleotide transfer RNA is filed under the name Nitratireductor sp. RNAcentral's name for it is "tRNA-Lys". It matches the Rfam family "tRNA". Rfam says of the family: Transfer RNA (tRNA) molecules are approximately 80 nucleotides in length. Lineage: Bacteria; Pseudomonadati; Pseudomonadota; Alphaproteobacteria; Hyphomicrobiales; Phyllobacteriaceae. The record is from RNAcentral.